Molecule: ribosomal RNA, 481 nt
Filed under: uncultured bacterium
Lineage: Bacteria
Description: bacterial SSU rRNA
Rfam family: Bacterial small subunit ribosomal RNA
Source: RNAcentral
AGAGUUUGAUUCUGGCUCAGAACGAACGCUGGCGGCAGGUCUUAGGCAUGCAAGUCGAACGGAUGACAAGAGAGCUUGCUCUCUUGAAGUCAGUGGCGCACGAGUGAGUAACGCGUGGGAAACUGCCCUUCACUGGGGAAUAACGUUUGGAAACGAACGCUAAUACCGCAUACGCCCGCAAGGGGAAAGAUUUAUCGGUGAUGGAUGUGCCCGCGUUGGAUUAGCCAGUUGGUGGGGUAAUGGCCUACCAAAGCAAUGAUCCAUAGCUGGUCUGAGAGGACGAUCAGCCACGCUGGAACUGAGACACGGUCCAGACUCCUACGGGAGGCAGCAGCUAAGAAUAUUGGGCAAUGGAGGAAACUCUGACCCAAGCCAUGCCGCGUGAAUGAAGAAGGCCUUCGGGUUGUAAAGUUCUUUUAGUCAUGAAGAUGAUGACAGUAGUGACAGAAAAAGCACCGGCUAACUUCGUGCCAGCCGCGGC